Non-coding RNA from Bos taurus (domestic cattle), 57 nucleotides. The record is from Rfam. NCBI's taxonomy places the organism in Eukaryota, Metazoa, Chordata, Mammalia, Artiodactyla, Bovidae.
UGGCUCAGAGGGUAAAGCGUCUGCCUGCAAUGCAGGAGACCCAGGUUCGAUCCCUGG